UGUAUGCCUAUAAAUCCAAAAAGCUCCUGAAAUUUUCACUGCCCAGAAAUAUGCAGUUUCUGAUGGAAAACCUGAUUUUAAAUAACAAAUAAUGUAAAGAUGCUGAAGCCAGAAAGAAGUCAUGGUGACUUACCUGACAACUGUGGGAUCUGUCUUUUAUUUUUUAUUUUUUUUCCAGAACACAUGCUGAUAUCCCGUUUUGAUCCCUUUUCUUGGAAGCAUUGAAUGCUGGUGAUCAUCUGAAGUAAUGGCCUGCAUGGUGGAGGGAAUAGAGGCUACCUUGGCUUUAAUACGAGGAAAGCAGAACGGGCACAGAAGCACAGAAGCUGGGAGAGACUCUUGGCUGACACCAAACCAACCUCCUGCUCUGAGGGGUGACUUUUUUGGUCACAAUGACUUUUGCGGGGAAACUGCUGCAUUGAGAUUAAACAGCAAGUCCCUUAGGGGAGAUAACUAGACCAAUGAAAUACCAGUAGCAGAAAUUUAGAACAAAUAGCGAAAUGCAGUUCCCUUAAUACAUCAGUCAUUGCAUAUGUAGCCGUACAAUAUAAAGUAUUAGAGCGACCAAUUCUGCUACUUGAUUUCAAAAGGUGAUGCAACUGCAAUGGGCUGUUUUUGCUGUGAACUCACAUACUUUUUAAAGGAAGCUCCACCAAUACUAUCAGUUAUAGGCAGUUUUGUUAAGUCAUUCUGUUACCAUCUAAUUCCAAUUAUUUCAAAGCCAGUGCAGUUUUAUACUCCUAGGGAGGGUCCUGUUAGAGCCUUGUGUCUACCCACUUUUAAAUGCAUUCUUAUUACAAAGACAUAUAUAGUUCCCAUUACACAACAGUGAUAUAAAGCAUAAAUAUGUAUAUUUGUAUAAAAAUAGAUAGAUAAUAUGAACAAACAUGCGUGGGUAUAAUACUUCCUGAAUUGCUUUUCAUUACUUGCUGUCUAAUGGUAGUGAUGUUACUGGUAUGGACAUAGAAUGUGAUUUUUUUCAGAGAAAGAAGAAAGAAAGAUUAUAAGAAAAUGAAAUAUACUAAAGAGUUGGUGCAUGUUUUAAUGACAUUUUGUGAGUUCUGCUGGUAUUUGUAAAAGUGUUUUUAAUACUUUAUUUUCCUAUUUUCUUUUACUUUGAGAAAAGCUGCUAAUGUUUUCUUGAGACAAAAAUCCAUGGGAAAGUAGUAAAGGCUCUGGCAACAAUCAAGACCUAUUAUUGUACUUGUGUUUAAUUCUGGUAUGAUUUAUUUACCUAUGUUUUUCUAUUGGAAGAGUUUUGUUUCCACAAAUAGUAGUUAUUAAUUUUUCUAACUGAAGACUGAAGUAUUCAGUUUUCCUGUAUUGCUAUGAUCACAUUAUUUUCCAUGCUGGUUGUUGCCUGGCAAUAACAUGUUCUUUAGUGUUCUUAAUAAAGGUGGCCAUGCAAAAUU
Long non-coding RNA from Pezoporus occidentalis (night parrot), 1412 nucleotides. RefSeq lists it as uncharacterized. Lineage: Eukaryota; Metazoa; Chordata; Aves; Psittaciformes; Psittacidae. The transcript has 2 exons. The record is from RefSeq and is a predicted model, not a curated record.